GCGCGGUUGGCUCAGUCGGUAGAGCGUUAGCCCGUUCACAAGUGAUCGUACCGAGGGCCCUAUAUACUCGCUACAAGUGUAGUAUGGGAGUGGCGCAAGGGGGGUCACGAACGAUAGGCUAGAGGUCACAGGUUCGAGUCCUGUACCGCGUA
Molecule: transfer RNA, 152 nt
Filed under: Neurospora tetrasperma FGSC 2509
Lineage: Eukaryota; Fungi; Ascomycota; Sordariomycetes; Sordariales; Sordariaceae
Rfam family: tRNA
About the family: Transfer RNA (tRNA) molecules are approximately 80 nucleotides in length. Their secondary structure includes four short double-helical elements and three loops (D, anti-codon, and T loops).
Source: Rfam by way of RNAcentral